GACGAACGCUGGCGGCGUGCUUAACACAUGCAAGUCGAACGGAAAGGCCCUGCUUUUGUGGGGUGCUCGAGUGGCGAACGGGUGAGUAACACGUGAGUAACCUGCCCUUGACUUUGGGAUAACUUCAGGAAACUGGGGCUAAUACCGGAUAGGAGCUCCUGCUGCAUGGUGGGGGUUGGAAAGUUUCGGCGGUUGGGGAUGGACUCGCGGCUUAUCAGCUUGUUGGUGGGGUAGUGGCUUACCAAGGCUUUGACGGGUAGCCGGCCUGAGAGGGUGACCGGCCACAUUGGGACUGAGAUACGGCCCAGGCUCCUACGGGAGGCAGCAGUGGGGAAUAUUGCAAAAUGGGCGGAAGCCUGAUGCAGCAACGCCGCGUGCGGGAUGACGGCCUUCGGGUUGUAAACCGCUUUCGCCUGUGACGAAGCGUGAGUGACGGUAAUGGGUAAAGAAGCACCGGCUAACUACGUG
RNAcentral lists this ribosomal RNA (468 nucleotides) under uncultured bacterium. RNAcentral describes it as "partial 16S ribosomal RNA". It matches the Rfam family "Bacterial small subunit ribosomal RNA", at positions 28 to 507 of the family's 1533-position model. The record is from RNAcentral.